GAAGGGUGCUGAUCCCACAACUGCUGAGAAUCCCCCUAUUCUUGGAAGUGAGAACAUCCCAACAAACACUGAUAUGCCACAUAUUACUGAUCCAAGCACCACUAUUCCUGAAACUGAGAACAUCCCACUCAAUCCUGAUAUGCCACCCAUUACUGAAUCUGGCCCCAUUCCACAAAAUAAUGAGAUGCCCCCCAUUAAUGAUUCUGGCCCAAUUCCAUAAAAUAUUGAGAU
Molecule: long non-coding RNA, 231 nt
Organism: Beta vulgaris subsp. vulgaris (sugar beet)
Lineage: Eukaryota; Viridiplantae; Streptophyta; Magnoliopsida; Caryophyllales; Amaranthaceae
Exons: 5
Source: RefSeq, a predicted model, not a curated record